This 483-nucleotide ribosomal RNA is filed under the name uncultured bacterium. RNAcentral describes it as "partial 16S ribosomal RNA". It matches the Rfam family "Bacterial small subunit ribosomal RNA", at positions 28 to 507 of the family's 1533-position model. The record is from RNAcentral.
GACGAACGCUGGCGGCGUGCUUAACACAUGCAAGUCGAACGCUGAAGCUCAGCUUUUGUUGGGUGGAUGAGUGGCGAACGGGUGAGUAACACGUGAGUAACCUGCCUCCUUCUUUGGGAUAACGCCCGGAAACGGGUGCUAAUACUGGAUAUUCACUGGUCUUCGCAUGGGGGUUGGUGGAAAGGGUUUUUCUGGUGGGGGAUGGGCUCGCGGCCUAUCAGCUUGUUGGUGGGGUGAUGGCCUACCAAGGCUUUGACGGGUAGCCGGCCUGAGAGGGUGACCGGUCACAUUGGGACUGAGAUACGGCCCAGACUCCUACGGGAGGCAGCAGUGGGGAAUAAUGCACAAUGGGCGCAAGCCUGAUGCAGCGGCGCCGCGUGAGGGAUGGAGGCCUUCGGGUUGUGAACCUCUUUCGCUCAUGGUCAAGCCGCAACAAUGGUUGUGGUGAGGGUAGUGGGUAAAGAAGCGCCGGCUAACUACGUG